AUACGAAGGGCCCAAGCGUUAAUCGGAAUCACUGGGCUUAAAGGGUGCGUAGGCGGGCUCGCAAGUGUCUUGUGAAAUCCCACGGCUCAACCGUGGAACUGCUUGGCAUACUGCGAGCCUCGAGAUCGGCAGAGGUCGCCGGAACUCUAGGUGUAGCGGUGAAAUGCGUAGAUAUCUAGAGGAACGCCAAAGGCGAAGGCAGGUGGCUGGGCCGAUUCUGACGCUGAGGCACGAAAGCGUGGGUAGCGAACGGGAUUAGAUACCCCAGUAGUCC
This 274-nucleotide ribosomal RNA is filed under the name uncultured bacterium. Its description in RNAcentral is "partial 16S ribosomal RNA". It matches the Rfam family "Bacterial small subunit ribosomal RNA", at positions 523 to 796 of the family's 1533-position model. The record is from RNAcentral.